RNAcentral lists this non-coding RNA (29 nucleotides) under Mus musculus (house mouse). The record is from RNAcentral. Lineage: Eukaryota; Metazoa; Chordata; Mammalia; Rodentia; Muridae.
UCUGACAGAUUGAUAGUAUAGCCCGUUGA